This 404-nucleotide ribosomal RNA is filed under the name Verrucomicrobiota bacterium. Its description in RNAcentral is "Verrucomicrobia bacterium partial 16S ribosomal RNA". It matches the Rfam family "Bacterial small subunit ribosomal RNA", at positions 355 to 776 of the family's 1533-position model. The record is from RNAcentral. Lineage: Bacteria; Pseudomonadati; Verrucomicrobiota.
UGGGGAAUAUUGGACAAUGGGGGGAACCCUGAUCCAGCGACGCCGCGUGAGUGAAGAAGUAUUUCGGUAUGUAAAGCUCUAUCAGCAGGGAAGAAAAUGACGGUACCUGACUAAGAAGCCCCGGCUAACUACGUGCCAGCAGCCGCGGUAAUACGUAGGGGGCAAGCGUUAUCCGGAUUUACUGGGUGUAAAGGGAGCGCAGACGGUUUUGCAAGUCUGAAGUGAAAGCCCGAGGCUUAACCUCGGAGUUGCUUUGGAAACUGUAUAACUAGAGUAGCGGAGAGGUAAGUGGAAUUCCUAGUGUAGCGGUGAAAUGCGUAGAUAUUAGUAGGAACACCGGUGGCGAAGGCGGCUUUUUGGCCUGCAACUGACACUGAGGCGCGAAAGCGUGGGGAGCAAACAGG